RNAcentral lists this ribosomal RNA (254 nucleotides) under uncultured bacterium. RNAcentral's name for it is "partial 16S ribosomal RNA". It matches the Rfam family "Bacterial small subunit ribosomal RNA", at positions 524 to 776 of the family's 1533-position model. The record is from RNAcentral.
CACGUAGGGCGCAAGCGUUGUCCGGAAUUAUUGGGCGUAAAAGAGCUCGUAGGUGGUUUGUUACGUCCGCUGUGAAAUCCUAGGGCUUAACCCUGGGCUUGCAGUGGAUACGGGCAGACUAGAGUGUGGUAGGGGAGACUGGAAUUCCUGGUGUAGCGGUGAAAUGCGCAGAUAUCAGGAGGAACACCGAUGGCGAAGGCAGGUCUCUGGGCCAUAACUGACGCUGAGACGCGAAAGCGUGGGUAGCAAACAGG